This 315-nucleotide long non-coding RNA is filed under the name Eucalyptus grandis. RNAcentral's name for it is "long non-coding RNA (EGRA_LNC001127)". Lineage: Eukaryota; Viridiplantae; Streptophyta; Magnoliopsida; Myrtales; Myrtaceae. The record is from RNAcentral.
CUUCGUCGUUUCUCUCUCCUCCAUUUUCGCCGUCGUGGUUCGACGCGUUGGCGUCGGGCGUGUAGGCGGAGGCGGAGGAGACGGGGGCGACGGACUCCGACGCCGACGGAGGCAACCGGCGGAGGGGCGUCGGCGUCGGGGUUUGCUGGAAGAGAGGCGCGACUUCGAGGACGAGAGAGAGAGAGCGGACUAGAGGUCGCGAGAGGGAGGCGGAGGGGCGUCGGCGUCAGAGUCGGGUUCAGGGGAGGAAGCGGAGGCUGCGUCGGCGUCAGAGUCGGGUUCAGGGGAGGAAGCGAAGGCUGCGUCGGCGUCGGC